RNAcentral lists this ribosomal RNA (253 nucleotides) under uncultured bacterium. Its description in RNAcentral is "partial 16S ribosomal RNA". It matches the Rfam family "Bacterial small subunit ribosomal RNA", at positions 524 to 776 of the family's 1533-position model. The record is from RNAcentral.
UACAGAGGUCUCAAGCGUUGUUCGGAUUCAUUGGGCGUAAAGGGUGCGUAGGCGGCGCGGUAAGUCGGGUGUGAAAUCUCGGAGCUUAACUCCGAAACUGCAUUCGAUACUGCCGUGCUUGAGGACUGGAGAGGAGACUGGAAUUUACGGUGUAGCGGUGAAAUGCGUAGAUAUCGUAAGGAAGACCAGUGGCGAAGGCGACUUCCUGGCCUGUUCUUGACGCUGAGGCGCGAAAGCUAGGGGAGCAAACGGG